AAGCGACUGGGGGAGCCGAAGCUCCCCCCCAAAUUGGUGCGUGCUCUUUUUUUAUUAUUAUGGCGGGCUUGUUGUUUUUGUUGAUUUACCCGUUCCAUCCAGUCAAGGACUUUGGGAAAAUUUCCCAAGCUGGGAAUCAAGAGCAAACGGAUUUCUUUGGAUGCUGACGCUGCCAUGAUCACACAGUGACCCAACCAGUUCUGGCGCUGCCUUAGGGCAGUU
Molecule: unclassified non-coding RNA, 222 nt
Filed under: Pseudomonas anguilliseptica
Lineage: Bacteria; Pseudomonadati; Pseudomonadota; Gammaproteobacteria; Pseudomonadales; Pseudomonadaceae
Description: Pseudomonas sRNA P29
Source: RNAcentral